GACAGAGGAUGCAAGCGUUAUCCGGAAUGAUUGGGCGUAAAGCGUCUGUAGGUGGCUUUUCAAGUCCGCCGUCAAAUCCCAGGGCUCAACCCUGGACAGGCGGUGGAAACUACCAAGCUGGAGUACGGUAGGGGCAGAGGGAAUUUCCGGUGGAGCGGUGAAAUGCGUAGAGAUCCGGAGGAACACCGAAGGCGAAGGCAGUGUCCUGGGGAGUACCUGACGCUCAGGUGCGAAAGCCAGGGGAGCGAACGGG
Molecule: ribosomal RNA, 253 nt
Filed under: uncultured bacterium
Lineage: Bacteria
Description: partial 16S ribosomal RNA
Rfam family: Bacterial small subunit ribosomal RNA
Source: RNAcentral